Molecule: non-coding RNA, 203 nt
Organism: Oryza nivara
Lineage: Eukaryota; Viridiplantae; Streptophyta; Magnoliopsida; Poales; Poaceae
Source: Rfam
UUUAAAUGUAAUCGUGGGUUUCCAUAUCUAACGUUUGACUGUCCGUUUUAUUUAAUUUUUUUAAUGAUUAGUAUUUCUAUUGUUAUUAGAUGAUAAAAUAUGAAUAAUACUUUAUGUGUGGUUUAUUUUUUAACUUUUUUAUAAAAUUUUAAAUAAAACAGACGAUCAAACGUUAGACACGAAAGCUUGCAGCUACAUUUAAA